GGGUAAUCUUCCGCAAUGGGCGCAAGCCUGACGGAGCAAUACCGCGUGAGGGAGGAAGGCUCUUGGGUCGUAAACCUCUUUUCUCAGGGAAGAACAAAAUGACGGUACCUGAGGAAUCAGCAUCGGCUAACUCCGUGCCAGCAGCCGCGGUAAUACGGAGGAUGCAAGCGUUAUCCGGAAUGAUUGGGCGUAAAGCGUCCGUAGGUGGUUAUGUAAGUCUGUGGUUAAAGCGUGGGGCUCAACCCCAUAAAGGCCAUGGAAACUACAAGACUUGAGUGAAGUAGGGGUAGAGGGAAUUCCCAGUGUAGCGGUGAAAUGCGUAGAGAUUGGGAAGAACACCGGUGGCGAAAGCGCUCUACUGGACUUAAACUGACACUGAGGGACGAAAGCUAGGGGAGCGAAAGGGAUUAGAUACCCCUGUAGUCCUAGCCGUAAACGAUGGAUACUAGGUGUUGCCCGUAUCGACCCGGGCAGUGCCGUAGCUAACGCGUUAAGUAUCC
Molecule: ribosomal RNA, 500 nt
Filed under: uncultured cyanobacterium
Lineage: Bacteria; Bacillati; Cyanobacteriota
Description: bacterial SSU rRNA
Rfam family: Bacterial small subunit ribosomal RNA
Source: RNAcentral